UUGAAUUACGCUCAUCAUGCGUUUCUAGGGAAGAUUCAGCUGACCAAAUAUGGGGAAAGCAUCAGCAAAAUUUCUUUUGACGAGCUAAGUAAGUCAUCAGUUUAUUUAGGUAAAAAAAAAGAGACUAUCUUCUGCAAUAUUUGUUUGUUUUUGUAAUUUGUUGGAGCAAUAAUCAAUAGAAUAAUUAUAUGAGAGAAUAAUUUGGUCAUCUUUCUGGUUUUGUAUACAGGUGAUGAUUACAUGACGGUGCAGAGGAAAAGAAACAAAUCUUUGAGUUCCAAUACUUCUGCCAAUUCGUGUCAAUGUAUUUGAGGUACUUGCUCAAUAACAUAAAAGCAUAAAAGUUGACUGAACAGAGUUGUUCAACUAAUUGUAAACAACAAAAAGUUGACUAAAAACAGAGUAAAUAAGGAACACACAAUAUACAAUAACAGAAAUCUAAACCAAUCCAUAGUUGGACAUUGUUUGAUUGCUUUCUCCUCAAACUUUUUUCAUGUGCAGAGGUUGUAAGUUGACUUUCUUGGAGUUCUUCUGGUUGCUUUGAUUUUCUUCUUCGAGAUUCUUCAGGUAGGUUCUAAAUGCCUACACAAACAAAAACUUAUUUUUUUGUCAACAACAGAAAUAAUUAAAUGCUUAAGUUUCAUUGCCAAAAGUUUAUUCUAAUAUUUUUGUCUUUCAAUGUUUUGCAAACAAAUUUGUUUAAAAGUCAGAAC
Molecule: long non-coding RNA, 713 nt
Filed under: Arabidopsis lyrata
Lineage: Eukaryota; Viridiplantae; Streptophyta; Magnoliopsida; Brassicales; Brassicaceae
Description: long non-coding RNA (ALYR_LNC002240)
Source: RNAcentral